This 239-nucleotide ribosomal RNA is filed under the name uncultured bacterium. RNAcentral describes it as "partial 16S ribosomal RNA". It matches the Rfam family "Bacterial small subunit ribosomal RNA", at positions 524 to 762 of the family's 1533-position model. The record is from RNAcentral.
UACGGAGGGUGCGAGCGUUGUCCGGAAUCACUGGGCGUAAAGGGCGCGUAGGUGGUCAGGUAAGGGUGUGGUGAAAGUCCGGGGCUCAACCCCGGAUCUGCCGUGCCGACUGCUUGACUGGAGCAUUGCAGAGGCAGAUGGAAUUCCGGGUGUAGCGGUGGAAUGCGUAGAGAUCGGGAGGAACAUCAGUGGCGAAGGCGGCCUGCUGGGCUGUUGCUGACGCUGAGGCGCGACAGCGU